RNAcentral lists this ribosomal RNA (496 nucleotides) under uncultured bacterium. RNAcentral's name for it is "partial 16S ribosomal RNA". It matches the Rfam family "Bacterial small subunit ribosomal RNA", at positions 29 to 507 of the family's 1533-position model. The record is from RNAcentral.
AUGAACGCUGGCGGCGUGCCUAAUCCCUGCAAGUCGCGCGAACGGACGAGAAGCUUGCUUUUCUGAUGUUAGCGGCGGACGGGUGAGUAACACGUGGAUAACCUACCUAUAAGACUGGGAUAACUUCGGGAAACCGGAGCUAAUACCGGAUAAUAUUUUGAACCGCAUGGUUCAAAAGUGAAAGACGGUCUUGCUGUCACUUAUAGAUGGAUCCGCGCUGCAUUAGCUAGUUGGUAAGGUAACGGCUUACCAAGGCAACGAUGCAUAGCCGACCUGAGAGGGUGAUCGGCCACACUGGAACUGAGACACGGUCCAGACUCCUACGGGAGGCAGCAGUAGGGAAUCUUCCGCAAUGGGCGAAAGCCUGACGGAGCAACGCCGCGUGAGUGAUGAAGGUCUUCGGAUCGUAAAACUCUGUUAUUAGGGAAGAACAUAUGUGUAAGUAACUGUGCACAUCUUGACGGUACCUAAUCAGAAAGCCACGGCUAACUACGUG